GCACGGGUGCGUAACGCGUAUGCAACCUACCUUUAACAGGGGGAUAACACUGAGAAAUUGGUACUAAUACCCCAUAAUAUCAUAGAAGGCAUCUUUUAUGGUUGAAAAUUCCGAUGGUUAGAGAUGGGCAUGCGUUGUAUUAGCUAGUUGGUGAGGUAACGGCCCACCAAGGCGACGAUCAGUAGCCGGACUGAGAGGUUGACCGGCCACAUUGGGACUGAGAUACGGCCCAGACUCCUACGGGAGGCAGCAGUGGGGAAUAUUGGGCAAUGGGCGCAAGCCUGACCCAGCAACGCCGCGUGAAGGAAGAAGGCUUUCGGGUUGUAAACUUCUUUUAAGUGGGAAGAGCAGAAGACGGUACCACUUGAAUAAGCCACGG
Molecule: ribosomal RNA, 379 nt
Filed under: uncultured bacterium
Lineage: Bacteria
Description: bacterial SSU rRNA
Rfam family: Bacterial small subunit ribosomal RNA
Source: RNAcentral